RNAcentral lists this ribosomal RNA (703 nucleotides) under uncultured bacterium. RNAcentral's name for it is "bacterial SSU rRNA". It matches the Rfam family "Bacterial small subunit ribosomal RNA", at positions 104 to 805 of the family's 1533-position model. The record is from RNAcentral.
GGGUGAGUAACACGUAUGCAACCUGCCCCUGUCAGGGGGACAACCCGCCGAAAGGCGGGCUAAACCCGCGUACAUGCCACCGGGGCAUCCCGGAGGCAGGAAAGGCUUCGGCCGGACAGGGAUGGGCAUGCGGCGCAUUAGGCAGUAGGCGGGGUAACGGCCCACCUAACCGACGAUGCGUAGGGGUUCUGAGAGGAAGGUCCCCCACACUGGUACUGAGACACGGACCAGACUCCUACGGGAGGCAGCAGUGAGGAAUAUUGGUCAAUGGUCGGGAGACUGAACCAGCCAAGCCGCGUGAGGGAUGAAGGUACAGAGUAUCGUAAACCUCUUUUGUCAGGGAACAAAGGCGGGGACGUGUCCCCGGAUGAGUGUACCUGAAGAAAAAGCAUCGGCUAACUCCGUGCCAGCAGCCGCGGUAAUACGGAGGAUGCGAGCGUUAUCCGGAUUUAUUGGGUUUAAAGGGCGCGCAGGCGGUCUGUUAAGUCAGCGGUCAAAGCCCGGGGCUCAACCCCGGCCCGCCGUUGAAACUGGCAGUCUCGAGUUGGAGAGAAGUAUGCGGAAUGCGCGGUGUAGCGGUGAAAUGCAUAGAUAUCGCGCAGAACUCCGAUUGCGAAGGCAGCAUGCCGGCUCCACACUGACGCUGAGGCACGAAAGCGUGGGUAUCGAACAGGAUUAGAUACCCUGGUAGUCCACGCAGUAA